GAUGAACGCUAGCUACAGGCUUAACACAUGCAAGUCGAGGGGUAACGAGAGGGAAGCUUGCUUUCCUUGUCGACGACCGGCGCACGGGUGAGUAACGCGUAUCCAACCUGCCCCCAACUAAGGAAUAACCUUGCGAAAGUAAGACUAAUACCCUAUAAUUUCCUCAGAUGACAUCUGACGAGGAAUAAAGAUUUAUCGGUAGUGGAUGGGGAUGCGUCUGAUUAGCUUGUUGGCGGGGUAACGGCCCACCAAGGCAACGAUCAGUAGGGGUUCUGAGAGGAAGGGCCCCCACAUUGGAACUGAGACACGGUCCAAACUCCUAGGGGAGGAAGCAGUGAGGAAUAUUGGUCAAUGGGCGGAAGCCUGAACCAGCCAAGUAGCGUGCAGGAUGACGGCCCUAUGGGUUGUAAACUGCUUUUAUACAGGAAUAAAGUUAGCCACGUGUGGUUAUUUGUAGGUACUGUAUGAAUAAGGACCGGCUAAUUCCGUGCCAGCAGCCGCCGUAA
RNAcentral lists this ribosomal RNA (506 nucleotides) under uncultured bacterium. RNAcentral's name for it is "partial 16S ribosomal RNA". It matches the Rfam family "Bacterial small subunit ribosomal RNA", at positions 28 to 523 of the family's 1533-position model. The record is from RNAcentral.